AGUCGGUUCCAAGGGUUGGGCUGUUCGCCCAUUAAAGCGGUACGCGAGCUGGGUUCAGAACGUCGUGAGACAGUUUGGUCCCUAUCUGUUGUGGGCGUUGGAAAAUUGAAAAGAGCUGUUCCUAGUACGAGAGGACCGGAAUGGAUGCACCUCUGGUGCUCCUGUUGUCACGCCAGUGGCAUAGCAGGGUAGCUAUGUGCAGAAAGGAUAAUCGCUGAAGGCAUCUAAGCGAGAAGCCUCCUUUAAGAUGAAUUUUCCCAUUCAUAAGAUGUAAGAUCCCAUGUAGACCACAUGGUUGAUAGGAUGGAUGUGUAAGUGCUGUGAGGCAUUAAGCUAACCAUUACUAAUAGAUCGAGAGAAUU
This 362-nucleotide ribosomal RNA is filed under the name Mycoplasma capricolum subsp. capricolum. RNAcentral describes it as "LSU rRNA". It matches the Rfam family "Bacterial large subunit ribosomal RNA", at positions 2557 to 2925 of the family's 2925-position model. Lineage: Bacteria; Bacillati; Mycoplasmatota; Mollicutes; Mycoplasmatales; Mycoplasmataceae. The record is from RNAcentral.